This 436-nucleotide long non-coding RNA is filed under the name Citrus sinensis (sweet orange). RNAcentral describes it as "long non-coding RNA (CSIN_LNC002719)". The record is from RNAcentral. Lineage: Eukaryota; Viridiplantae; Streptophyta; Magnoliopsida; Sapindales; Rutaceae.
AGGCUUUCCUUCACUGGUACACUGGUGAAGGGAUGGAUGAAAUGGAGUUCACUGAAGCUGAGAGCAAUAUGAAUGACCUCGUGUCUGAGUACCAGCAGUACCAGGAUGCCACCGCCGAUGAGGAAGGCGAGUAUGAAGAUGAGGAAGAGGGAGAAUUGGAGCAUCAUAUUUGAAGAAGUUGUGUAUGAUGCAUAUUUGUCUGUGUAGCUGGUUUUGUCAACCUUGCUUGGGAUUGCAAAAAAUGAUCUAUGAUGUGUUAUAGUUUUUCUUUCUCGAGUUUUUUACAUCAAGUAGCAGUAAAGUGAGUGAUGGAUGAUGGGAUCGAUGAGGAUCGACUAUUGAGGAUGGAGAAAUUAAAGGAUGGAUGCAUGUUUUGAAAGUAGUAGUGUGUGCUACCUUUACCUUGCUAUCUAUUCUGGAUUUGAUCUAUUUUUGU